RNAcentral lists this ribosomal RNA (90 nucleotides) under Vincetoxicum auriculatum. RNAcentral describes it as "Cynanchum auriculatum partial 26S ribosomal RNA". It matches the Rfam family "Eukaryotic large subunit ribosomal RNA", at positions 1 to 90 of the family's 3401-position model. The record is from RNAcentral. Lineage: Eukaryota; Viridiplantae; Streptophyta; Magnoliopsida; Gentianales; Apocynaceae.
CGACCCCAGGUCAGGCGGGGCUACCCGCUGAGUUUAAGCAUAUCAAUAAGCGGAGGAAAAGAAACUAACAAGGAUUCCCCUAGUAACGGC